UCUGGCCGGCACCGAGACGUCGUCCACCGCCGUGGACUGGGUGAUGUCGGAGAUGAUCAGAAACCCCGGCACGCUGAGAAGGGCGCAAGACGAGGUGCGGGAGGUGUUCGACGGCGAGGGCUACGUCGACGAGCAAAAAUUUGACGACCUCAAAUACAUGAAAUUAGUGAUCAAAGAGACGAUGAGGCUGCACCCGCCGGUGCCGCUCCUGGUGCCGAGAAUAAACAGCGAGAUAUGCGAGAUCGACGGCUACAAGAUUCCGGCGGGGACGAGAGUGAUGGUGAACGCGUGGGCGCUGGGGAGGGACCCCAAGCACUGGGACGAGGCGGAGAAGUUCAAGCCGGAGAGAUUCGAGGGGAGCUCCGUCGACUUCAAAGGGAACAAUCUCGAGUUCAUCCCGUUCGGCGCCGGCCGGAGGAUGUGCCCCGGCAUGGCGUUCGGGCUCGCGAAUAUCGAGUUCUCGCUCGCCACGCUGCUGUAUCAUUUCGACUGGGAGAUGGCGGGCGGGGCGGGCGGCGAGGAGCUGGAUAUGGAGGAGUCGUUCGGCGCCACCGCGAAGCGGAAGAACGAUUUGCUCCUCGUCCCCACUCUCAAGAGGCCGUUGCGCCUCGUCAAGUGAUGAUUGAUUCAUUUCUUUAAUUAAUUUGUAGUUAAAUAUUUAUUUUUAUUUUAUUUUUUGCGAUAGUUAAAUAUUUACUGGCGUUUACACUCGUGCAUUAACUGUGGCAUUUACACUCGCGCGUGCAGUGUAAAAUUGAUAUCGAUUCAAUAUAAUAAUAAUUUUACCAAAAUAUAUUUGAGUUUGAUAUGAAAAAAUAAAGAAGAAUUCAAAAUAAUAAAGAUUGAUAUUGUUAAAAAAAGAAGGGAGAUUUUUUGCUUGACAAGAGCGUCUCCAACAUGCAUAUGAUGCUUUAGAUAAAUAUCUCAAUGUUCAUACAUUCAAUUUUUCUAAUUAUAAAUGAUGAUGAUGAUGAUGAUAAUAUUGCAUUAAUGGACAGCGUAUGAUUAUGAUCUAACUAAAAACCCAAGAAAAAAGAUUUAUCUUCUUAGUCUUACAAUUUAUAACUCUUCAUGAAGUUGGACCUAAUUGGCCCUUCAAGUUUGAUAUAUGGGGCCUACUCAACUAUUCACGAUAUACAUAUAUGCACAUUAAUUACUGGACCUGCAUGCAUCAGUGGAAGAGCAUGCAUCCACGCUAUUUUUUUUUUUCAGUAUAGAAAAUAUUUGAUAUAUACUCUUUUUUGUUGGAAUAUAAAAAUAAACUUGAUUUUUUAAGUGAAGAUAUUUGUAUUAGAAAUAUCUAAAAUGAAGAUAUUUGUAUUAGAAAUAUCUAGAAUCAAGAUAUUUUAAGAAGAAAAAGAAAGAAAGAAAAAUAUAGAGAAUUCUAGAAAAAGUGACUAAGUGAAGAUAUUUUGUAAUAGUAAAAUAAGUAUAAAAAUCUAGAUAGAAAUCAAGAGAAUUCUAGAAUUCUCACUUGACUACUAUAUAUAUGUGGAGGUUGUAUCAAUUGUUAAGAAUGAAGUGAAUUGAAGGAAAAUUGUGUUAGUAAACAACAAUCCUCCCACUCAAAUUUCUAAGCACACAUACGUCCACAACCAAUUUCUCCGAAUUUCCUCCUACCAAUCAAACAAAUUCUCCAUUAUAUAUUCUUAUAUUCCAACAAAGUGGUAUCAGAGCCAUAAAAUCCUACCUGUGGAAUGGCCAACCUACAAUCGUUUCAAGUCCCCAUGCUCAACAAGAGCAACUUCGACAAUUGGAGCAUCAAGAUGAAGGCGCUAUUGGGAGCUCACGACGUUUGGGAGAUCGUGGAGAACGGCUACGAGGAGCCGCAGGACGAGGCCGCACUAUCCCAACAACAAAAGGAUAGAUUGCGAGACGCGAGAAAGAGAGACAAGAAGGCUCUCUGUCUCAUUUAUCAAGCGCUGGGGGACGACGAUUUCGAGAAAAUCUCAAACGCGAGCACCGCCAAGGAAGCAUGGGAGAAGCUCCAGAACGCGUGCAAAGGAGCGGAGCAAGUAAAAAAGGUACGACUUCAAACUUUAAGAGGAGAGUUUGAGUCUUUGCAUAUGAAAGAGUCCGAGUCAAUUUCGGAUUAUUUUUCAAGAGUCUUGGCGGUGUCUAAUCAAAUGAAAAGAAAUGGUGAAAAGUUGGAGGAUGUAAGAAUUAUGGAGAAAAUAUUGCGCUCACUAACUCCAAAGUUUGAGCACAUUGUGGUGACGAUCGAAGAAACUAAAAAUUUGGAGGAGAUGACGAUCGAUCUCUUGUUGGGGUCGUUGCAAGCAUACGAGGAGAAGCAAAAGAAGAAGCAAGAGAUUUCAGAGCAACUUUUAAAGUUGCAAGUAAGCUCGAAAGAGAAAGAAGAAGGUCCGAGCAAUGGCCAUGGACAAUCCGGAAGAGGACGUGGCCAAGGACAAGAUCGAGGCAGAGGCCGAACACGUGGACGUGGUCGAGGACGAGGAGGCUUCGUCAACAGUGGUGAAAGAAAUGAGUUUACAAAUGGUCGGGGGAGGAGCAACCCGCAGUCGAGGUACGAUAAAUCCUCAAUAAAGUGUUAUAAUUGCCAUAAAUUUGGGCACUAUGCUUCCGAGUGCAGAAGUGAAAAAGUAAGGAUUGAAGAAAGGGCCAAUUAUGCCGAGAACACGAGCGAAGCAAAUGGUAGUGUGCUUCUGGCAUAUAAAGGAGAAGCUGGAAGACAAGAUGACACGUGGUACCUCGACACCGGUGCAAGCAACCACAUGUGCGGGAAGAGAAGCAUGUUCGUGGAGCUCGAUGAGUCGGUAAGUGGCAACGUCUCCUUUGGGUUAACUGAACAGGUGUAUGGGGGGAUACACAUGUAGGCUAUUUUCGUGGAAAAUAAACAAAUCAAAUUUCAGUUGAAAGAUGGUUGUAGACUGAUACUGAAAUAUAUAUUAUAUCAAUUUCAAUUUUUUUUUUAAUUUUUGAUUUCAUUAUUUUUAUGAAAUAAUUGAACGACACGGUCAACACGAGGCACAAUUUUCAUAGCUAUAAUUUGUUAGUAUCAAUUUCAUUGAUAUCUUAUAAUCUUCUAUAUCGUAGUAUACUUUUAAGAAAUAAUCGAAUAAUGUUUAUUUGGAAAAUUAUAUAGAAAUAAGAAAAAAACUAUAUAUAUCAAAAGAAUUGUAGGAGACUUAAAAAUAUCGAUGUUAAAAAAAAGGGAAACUAAGAAAAUGAGAAAAUGGUGGGGGUAUCAAAAAAUUUGGUCAAAGCAAUAACAUUUAAAAUAGAAAAGAAAAUUAAAAACAUAAAUUUAAAAUAAUCUCAAACUUUACACAAUAUCUUGGGUACACCCGGGUAUACCGUAUAGUCGGGUUGACCCGUAACCAAAAUAGUGUUAUUUAUAUGGUUUGGGUUAGGAUAUGGAUUCAAAUCAGAGUACGAGUCAAAGUGCAACUCAGUUAUACGGUACACUCCGGUGUACCCAAGAUCACCUCUAAACUUUAAUCGAUCAUAUUUUUCAUAUUUUAAACUAGUUUUUUUUACAAAUUAUACAUCAAUAAAUUUUUUUAUCACAAUCUUUAAUAUAAUGCAUAUUACAAAUUUUAUUUAAAAUUAAAUAACCCAAUUUCUGGAAAUAAAGAGCAAAAAAAAAAAAUAGCCGGAAAAAUGAAAUUAAAAGAAAUCUUUUUCUUUGGCAUGGGCAAAGCAACAAAUUAUGGUUGGUUUCGUUCUAGAACUUGGAGUGACUGUUCAAGCAUUUUUUUAAUAAGACUGUUGAAUUAAAAUUGAUUGCAUAUCUGUAAAAGAUUAUAGUGAUUUUUAAGGAUGCAAAUCCAUGAUUUAUUUCCUAAUUCAAUAGUGUAUAGAAGGCAAAAAUCAAAAAACUUGUCACAUUUAAUAAAAUAUAACCGAUAAUAUAUGAAAGGGGCAAAUCAGCCAUGAUCGUAAAUCUAUUUAUUAUUAAAUAGAAUACAUUUUUGAGAGCCCACAUUCAUUCUCUAUCCUAGGUGGCGCUCUCAAUAAUCUCCAUUCUCUUUUUUCUAAUUUCUACAUUUUACUCAUUUUCAAUAAUAAUUAAAUAUACAUAUAUUAUUUGAUUCAUCAUUAAUUUCCCAUCAUUGACAUCAAUUAGUUAUCAUCUUGCAUUUGGAAAGAUAAAAUUUAUGCUCAUUAAUUAAAACCUUCCUUAUAUAAUGGCAUCAAUUACUUUUCAUAUUUUAUACGAUAUUAGUUAUAUUCUAAUUUAAAAUGCAUCGUGUUCAAGGAUUUAUGCUUUAAUAUAUUAUUGCUUUUUUAUACAGAUCUAUAAUAUUAUUUAUUUAUACUCUAAUAACAUAAGUCAUUUAUAUUUUUCAUAUUUUAUACUAUAAUAUUGGCUCUAUAUAAGCUUCAACCAAAGCAAAUCAAAUGCAUCAUGUUCAAAGUUUCACAAUAAAAUAUGAUAGUAAGGCCAAAUUGUCGUUUUUCAAAACAUUCAUUAGUGUUCUUUUAGUUUUUUUAAUUCACCUUUUGGAAAUGAUAUUUCUUUAAUUGAUAUUAUUCUAAUUAUUCAUUAAUAUUUAUCAAUCAGCUAAUUAAUUGGCAUGUUACGAAACAUAAUUUGUGGCAAUAUUAAUUACAUUAAUAAAUUUUCCUUUUUUAUACUACUUUUCACCUAUAAAUUAUACUAGAAUUUUGCAACCAAUUUCAUCCACAAUAUUAGUUCUUUAUGCAUCUUCAUUCUCUUUUCCUAUUCAGCAGCUGCGAAUGCUAUGAUAUAUAUUGUAUUGUGUGUUAGCAAAUUAAGAUGAUUCUGAAAGUCUCAAGAGAAAAAAGAAUUUUCUCAUAAAUAAGAGAUCUCAAGGAUUCUUGUUGAAGCAGAAGCUCUAGAUCUUAGUCUUAGCAAGGAAACCAUCACAAAUUGCUUACAUUGUAAAAAAAAGUAUAAAACUCCAUCUAAAGAGAAUAAUGUCUCCAAAUGUUGGUUUGAUGUAUCAUUUUCAAAUAGAUUUGAGAGAUAUAGAUUAAUGGCAUGUUGUACAAUAUAUAAAUCUAGAUUUGUGAUUAAUAUGUAUAUCUUGAUUGUUGAUUAAUAUUAAUCAACCAAUAAUAAGAAGUUCCAAAAUAUAGUUUGUGGCAAAAAAUAUUGAUUAUAACAAUAAAUUUUCUAAUUCUAUAUUAUUUUUCUACCUUUAAUUUCUAGAAUUCUUCAAUCAAUUUCACUAACAUUUCAUAUUGUCUAUGCUCACUCAUUCAGACAUUUGCAAUUAAAAGAGUAUUUUCAAUAUUAUAUUUGUUGUAUUUUCUUCAUUCAGAGUUUCAGACUUUUCAACCAACCAAUGAAGUAUAUAUUUUCCUUCAUUCCGAUUUUUCAAUUAUAUGUAUUUUCACUCUAAUGGAUUUACAUUUAUUGUUGAAGAAAUAUAUCAUGAAUGCUUUUUCUUAACCUUGUGCUUUCAUGUAUGUAUAGUCAGAUUUUGUUGGUAGUAGUAAUAAGAAGUUGUGUUACUUGUGCAUGUCAGUAUAUAUACUCGAUGAUGUACUAUAGUAAUUGAUAUUCAUUGAAAAAAUUGAAAUACUAAUUAGAAUAUAAUAGACUAAGUAAUUAUUGGGAAACUAAUUAAAAUAGUAGACUAAGUAACUACUUAGAAUUAUAAUAAGAAACUGAAAUUAAUAUUAAAAGGAUAAGGAAACAAAUUACUAUUAGAAAACUAAUUAAAACAUAGUAAUAGAUUAAGUAACUAAUUUGAAAAAUAAACUAAUCUAUAUAUUAAAUUUAUUAAUUAUAUAUAAAAAUUAAAUAUAUUGAAUGCACUACAUUCAUCCUCAAUUUUAGGUGGCAUCUUCUCCAUUGUCCAUUCUUAGCUAUUAUAAAACCUCUAUCCCACAUGAAAAACAUAUUAAACUUUAACAAUUCAUAAACCUAAAUAAAAUGACAUUCAUCAUUCCUAUAUUAGGCAUUUGUUAUUCAUAUAUUGAUCUUCUAUUAAACUUUAUCAUGGAUAAAUUUGCUAUUCGUGUGGGUUUCACCACAUGGCGAAUCCCCCCCAAUUUUUUAUUAUUAUUUUUUUAAAUCGGAUUUGCGAAUCGGGUGCGCCCAACUCACGAAUCUGGUGCAUUUAGGGUGCAUUGAGGGUUAUUUUGAAUAAUUUCAUUAUUUUUAGGCUCUUUUACAAUUUUUUCAAUUUAUUGCCCUACAAUUAUUUGUGUCUCUUCGAUCCCUCAACAAAGAAGAAUUCAAUUUUAAGAAAUUAUAAUCCUACUAGAUUUUAUUUUCUAAGUUCUAUCAUAAUUAGUAGUAAACUAAUAAAUUAAAUAAUUAUAAGAAUACAAGUGGCAGAUUGAAAUGCUUUAUCUUGCAAUUUCAGCUAUUAUAUGUAUUUUAUUUCUUAAUAUUUGACUUAUAUUUGCAAUGCAACAUUUAAUUUAUGAAUGUUCUUUUCUUUUUUUCAAUUUGAUUGGUCAUAUAUAAUAAAAUAUAUAAAUAUAACAGACGUAUCCUUCACGAAUCGCAUCGAUCCUAUAUGUUUUGAAAAUCUGUAUCCCCACACCCGAAUCGUAUCGCUCCCGCACGCGCCCCCUCGCACCUGUACAACAUAGAGUAUCAUGUUAGUUGAUAUUUCUAUUUGAAUUUUUUUAUUAUUUUAAUUCUUUGUUAUUUAUACAUUAAUAAUUAAUGUAUAUUUUGUAUUGUUCGAAUUUUGGUUGAGAUGUAUAAUCAACUAAUCUAACAAAGUAUAUUUGAUUAUUUAGCUAUUUUAUAAAAUGAAAAUGUAUAGUAACAACUAAUUUUUUAUUAAUUCUCUAAUUAUUACGGGUAUGAAUUUGUAAAUUCUCAAUGAGUUUCAUCGCAAAUAUAUACUUUGAAUUUGAUUAUUUAUAUUUUCUUAUUCAUAUUAUUAAUAUACCAUAGUUGUUACAAGUUAUUUGAUUGUGUAGAUUUUUAUAAAAUUUAAACUGGUUCGACAAAUUGGCAUAUAUUACUAUAUGAGUCAAGAAUGGAUAGUAAAAUCACUUACUAAUAGAGGUUUGAACUAAUAAAAUUACAUAUAUAAAUGAAAUAUCUAAACUGAUUAGAGUUCUAUUUGUUAGAGAGUUGACAAUUGAAGUUAUGGUUGAAUAUAUAUAAUUUCAUAUUUGAUGAUGUGAUGCUCAAAACUCUAGACGAGAUGAUGCUCUUUCAAGUUUCAGAUAAGAUGAUGCUCAUAAGUUAGAGGUGAUCUGUCAAGUUUGAGACGAGAUGAUGCCCACAACUUGAUUGCUUUUAAAACUCCAAAUGAUUUAUUUGAUGUUCGAUAACUCAGUUAUGAACUUUUAAACAUCAAGGCAGAGUCAUUGUUGAGCUACUGAGCAUUAGAGCGACCGAAGCCAUUGAUGGUCUGUUUGCAGCAUUUUCUUGAACACACAACAGUCCCAUGUGCAUACAUCUCAACAUGUCACGUACAAAACCCGCACCAUUCGUCAGCACGGGAUCUAUCAUAUUUGCAGCUGUCCCUUCUCGCCAGUUCUUCCAUGUCUGUGAAUGUGUGGCCAUUAGUUGCAAUACAACCAUUCUACUAAUUAACAUUGAUAGAUAUGAUGGUACUUACAAGAGUCAAGAGGUCCUCUGUACUGUCCCCAUUUUGGAUACAAUAGAGGCUGGGUCGGGGGGUAAUAGAGGCUUGGGUGUGGGGUGGUGGAGCGGCUCCUGGAGUUAAGUCGGGGGAGAAGGACAAAUGGCUUAGAGAGAACCUUGCUUUGAGAAUUGGGGAGGGUAAUCAACUGAGUUUUUGGAAUCAUUGUUGGGCGGGGGGUAGAACUUUGGCGGAAGAGUUUCCACGACUCUUUCACCUUAGCGCUCACUGGGAAGGUAGCGCUCACCGGGCAGGGGGUAGAACUUUGGAAUCAUUCUGGUACCAUGUGCAAUGAAAAAAAAUUCCUUGCCUAAGACAAAAAAAAAAAACUCCCUCCGUUCACGAAAGAACUUUCUAUCUUUUCUUUUUGGGACGCCUCCAAAAAUACUUCCUACCUAUUUUUUUACUAUGCUCCACCACUUAUAAUUACUCUUACUUUUCACUUUUCACAACUCUCAAUAUUAAUUAGUAUAACAUUUUUNGACAAUUAAUACAAAUUUUACUGUUAAAUAUUUUAUUUUAAAACUAAAUAUUUAUAUAUAAAAUGAACCAAUAUAAAACACAAAACUUAUGUUGGGUCCCGGUGGGUUAACUGAACAGGUGUAUGGAGGAUACACAUGUAGGCUAUUUUCAUGGAAAAUAAACAAACCAAACUUCAGUUGAAAGAUGGUUGUAGACUGAUACUGAAAUAUACUCUCUCCGUCCACGAAAGAACUUCCUAUCUUUCCUUUUUGGGACGUCCACAAAAGAACUUCCUACCUAUUUUUGGACUAUACCCCACCACUUAUAAUCCUCUUACUUUCACUUUUCACAACUCUCAAUAUUAAUUAUAACACAUUUUUCACCACUCUCAAUACACUCAAUUACCUUUUAUCCACUCUCAAUACACUUAACAAUAUUUUUUCUUAAAACCCGUGCCACUCCCUCCUAGAAAGUUCUUUCAUGGACGGAGGGAGUAUAUUAUAUCAAUUUUAAUUUUUUAUUUUUUAUUUUGAUUUCAUUAAUAUCUUAUAAUUUUAUGUAUUAUAAUAUAUUUUUAUGAAAUAAUUGAACGACACGGUCAACACGAGGCACAAUUUUCAUGGCUAUAAUUUGUUAGUAUCAAUUUCAUUGAUAUCUUAUAAUCUUCUCUAUCGUAGUAUACUUUUAAGAAAUAUAAUCGAAUAAUGUUUAUUUGGAAAAUUAUAUAUAAAAAAAAAACUAUAUAUAUCAAAAGAAUUGUAGGAGACUUAAAAAUAUCGAUGUAAAAGGGGGGGGGGGGGGAACUAAGAAAAGGAGAAAAUGGUGGGGGUAUCAAAAAAUUUGGUCAAAGCAAUAACAUUUGAAAUAGAAGAGAAAAUUAAAAAUAAUUAAAAACAUAUAUUUAAAAUAAUCUCAAACUUUACACAAUAUCUUGGGUACACUUGGAUGUACCGUAUAAUCGGGUUGACCCGUACCCAGAAUAGUGUUAUUUAGUAUAUGGUUUGGGUCAGGAUAUGGGUUCAAAUCAAAGUACGAGUCAAAGUGCAACCCAGUUGUACGGUACACUCCGGUGUACCCAAAAUUACCUCUAAACUUUAAUCGAUCAUAUUUUUCAUAUUUUUAACUAGGAGUAUUUUUUUUUACAAAUUAUACAUCAAUAAAUUUUUUUAUCACAAUCUUUAAUAUAAUGCAUAUUACAAAUUUUAUUUUAAAUUAAAUAACCCAAUUUCUGGAAAUAAAGAGCAAAAAUAAGAGAAAAGAAAGAAAUAGCCGGAAAAAUGAAAUUAAAAGAAAACUUUUUCUUUGGCAUGGGCAAAGCAACAAAUUAUGGUUGGUUUCGUUCUAGAACUUGGAGUGACUGUUCAAGCAUUUUAAUAAGACUGUUGAAUUAAAAUUGAUUGCAUAUCUGUAAAAGAUUAUAGUGAUUUUUAAGGAUGCAAAUCCAUGAUUUAUUUCCUAAUUCAAUAGUGUAUAGAAGGCAAAAAUAAAAAAACUUGUCACAUUUAAUAAAAUAACCGAUAAUAUAUGAAAGGGGCAAAUCAGCCAUGAUCGUAAAUAUUUAAUAAUAGAAUUAAUUUUUGAGGGUAUUAUGCAUGUACAUGUUAUGUAAGAAAAUCUUUUUCCAUUAAUUAUUAAACCAAAACUAUAUGUGAAAAAGUGAGUGAAAGUCGCAAAUAGUCGGAACUAGUAUCAAUAAAUAUGAAGAAAAUUUGGGAUUUGACUUCAAAAGAAUCUGCCACAACUUCAAUUAAGCACCACUACUUCUGCCUCCAUAGAUACAAAGGAUGCGUAAAAAAUGAAAAAUAUUUCUUGUCAAAGAAUUUAAUGCAUGAGAAAAGUACUCGUAUCAUUUAUUUGACUUAGAAGCUUGAAGCUUCCUUAAUUAUCAUAGAAUUCAUUUUCUGCUAUAUAUAAACAUCAUUCCCAUCUCACCACGCUCACAACUAAAAACACACAGUAGAUAAAAAAAAAAAAAAAAAAACUCAUUCAUUUUGUGAGGAUGAUGAUGAUGGAUCCCGAGUUCCCAUCAACCCUCACACUCGUCGUAGCCUCACUUCUUCUGCUUCUGAUCCUUUCCAAAUUCCGGAAACCCUCGGAAUCGGAAUGCGAUCUCAAUCGCAUUCCGGGGCCCAAGAGGCUCCCGGUGAUCGGAAACAUCCACCUCCUGCUCAGCAAGUCCAUGCCUCAUUUCAUUUUCCGACAACUCGCCGCCAAAUACGGCCCCCUGAUGCGGCUGCAGCUCGGCGGCGUCCCCUUCCUCAUCGUCUCCUCCGUCGACGUCGCGAAGCAAGUGCUCAAGACCCACGACGUGGCCUUCGCGAACCGGCCGCUCAUGCACGCCGCCACCACCAUCACCUACAACUACACCAACAUCGCCUUCGCCCCCUACGGCGAGUACUGGAGGAACCUGCGGAAGAUCUGCACGCUCGAGCUGCUGAGCGCGAAGCGCGUGAGGUACUUCCGCCCCAUAAGGGAGGAGGAGAAUAUGAACCUGGCGGCGCUGAUCGCCUCCAAGGGAGGAUCGCCGGUGAAUCUGUCGGAGGUGGUCGGGCUGUCGGCGUUCGACAUCACGAGCAGGGCGUCGGUGGGGGAGGAGACGGAGGAGAAGCACACGAUGACCGCCGCCAUCAAGGACGGCAUCGCGCUGGGCUCCGGCCUCAGCGUCGCCGAUCUCUACCCGUCCAAUAAGAUUCUCCCGGUCAUCAGCGGCAUGAAUUACAAGAUCCAAAAGGUUUUCCGGCAGACGGAUAGGGUUUUCGAGAGCAUCAUCGGCCGUCACAGAGCCGCCGGCCGGAGGGAUGAGCGGUCCGAGGAUCUGGUGGAUGUUCUCCUCAAGUGCCAGCGAGACGACGCCGGAGUGCGCCUCACCACCGACAACAUCAAAGCAGUCAUAUUGGUAUGUAUCAACUCUUUCUUUCUAAAAAAACGUAUACUCUCUCUGUCCAUAAUAAAACUUUUUAGAAAGGAAUGAUAUGAAUUUUAAGACGAUAUUAUCGAGUAUAUUGAGAAUAAAAAUAUGUUGUAAUUAGUAUUAAGAGUGAUAAAAAUAUAAAAAGUAAGAAUAAAUGUGAUACUACGUUUGUCCACAAAAAAUAGUCCUAAUCGACACGAGUUUUUAAUAAAAAUAGUUAUUGUAUUGAGAGUGGAGAAAUUGUCUCAUUUAAAUAGUAGUGUUCAAAAUGAUAAUUAAUUGUAUCCUGACUAUGUGAUAGAUCAUUUCUAAAAUUAAUAAAGAGAGACUAAUUUUUGUGGACAUUCUAAAAUGACAAAAAAAAAUACUACUAUUUUUUAUAUGAACGGAUGGAGUAUUAUUAGUGGUGGGAUAUAAUAUAAAAAUAAAAAGAAUAUUCUUUUGUGUAUGUCGAAAAAUGAAAAUUUAGUAAAUUUUAUUAUGAACAGAAGGAGUAUUGUUUAUUUAGUUACACCUCAUACGUCACACUUAAGUAUACUAGGUACUUCAAAUUAGAGUUGAUAAUUGGUUGAAUUUGAACCCAACCUUGCUAGAUCCAAAUUUAAAUUAGAUUUUUUAUUUUAUUUUAUUGGAUGUAGACCAAAUUCAUUUUGUCCACAAAAAUGAGGUCCAGAUUGGAGUCCAUAAGAUCCACAAAUCAAAGGUCUCGGGUCCACUUCUUGAUUAUGAUUAAUUAAUGCUAAUUGAAUUAAUUAAUUAAACCUCUAACAUGGAUUCACAAUCGUAAUUACAUUUAAUUAUUAUGGAUGCAUGGUACCAUCAGGCAUAAUUAAUCCUAAUUAUGAUUAAUAAACUUUGAUUAGAGAUUAAUCAAUCUUUUUCGUAGAACUAAACAACUAAAUAAGAAAAUUUCAAUGGCAGUGCCACGAUGAACUCGAACCAACGCGCACAUGCAUCUCAAUUGAAUAUUGGCUAACUCUAAGCAAUUAGCUGACACAUUUUACUUUUAUUGAUAUCGAUGUUUCGGUACACGUGAUCAGGAUAUGUUUCUGGCCGGCACCGAGACGUCGUCCACCGCCGUGGACUGGGUGAUGUCGGAGAUGAUCAGAAACCCCAGCACGCUGAGAAGGGCGCAAGACGAGGUGCGGGAGGUGUUCGACGACGAGGGCUACGUCGACGAGCAAAAAUUUGACGACCUAAAAUACAUGAAAUUAGUGAUCAAAGAGACGAUGAGGCUGCACCCGCCGGUGCCGCUCCUGGUGCCGAGAAUAAACAGCGAGAUAUGCGAGAUCGACGGCUACAAGAUUCCGGCGGGGACGAGAGUGAUGGUGAACGCGUGGGCGC
Molecule: long non-coding RNA, 12267 nt
Filed under: Salvia miltiorrhiza (redroot sage)
Lineage: Eukaryota; Viridiplantae; Streptophyta; Magnoliopsida; Lamiales; Lamiaceae
Description: long non-coding RNA (SMIL_LNC006273)
Source: RNAcentral